CUGUAUGUCAUUAAAAAGGUAUUGCCAAAUGCGUAUCACGCAACCAUUUCGGUAGCUUGUUUACAUUUAAUUUUGGGCAAGAUUAAUUAUAGAAUACAUUCAAAUUUAAUUCCUACUCAUAAUCUAAUCUUUUCAUUAGCAAUACUUAAGGCCGAACUCAGACCGUCGCCCAGAUGAGAAGUGGUCAAAGCGACAAUGGAAGGGACAUUUUUGGACGCUUAAAAUUACAAGUGUUUGGCAAAUAUCGCCACGGAUGUGAAUUACACGGCACCAUAUUGAAGGCGUUUGCCAACCGGGUCAACUUAUCCUGAGGAGCUCCAAGGGAAAAGAAGGGACGUACUGAAAAGACGUAGUUGGACGUGCGGCUGGAGUGCGGAACUAAUGCCUCUCAUUCCAGAUUAGAUUUCGCAAGUUCAACGUUGGUUAUUGUCGAAGCUGCAGUCAGAAGAAGCGACCGCUAGCGGCCAGGACUAGCUCAGGCUCUGCGCCAGAGGGCCCGGAGACAGUGCGUCGGUGGUCCAGAGAUGACCACGUGGUCAGCGCGGGUAUUCGUUCCCGGAACGGUCUCACCGAGUGAAUCUCCGUAUGUGGCCGUCUCGGAGGCCGUUGCUGGAGCUGCUGACGCUGGAUGCUGCUGCUGCUGCUGAUCUGAUCGCUGCUGCAGAUCGCUGCUGCAGUUGCUACGGAUCACUGCUGCUGCCACGGAUCACGGCUGCUGCUGGUGGACGACGUGGUCUUCACGACCAGGUUAGGUCCGCCAGCAACUUAAGCACAAAAAAUCGCUGGGGACGAAAUUGCGGCGAUACACUUCCUGACCUGGCUUCCCAAGGAAAGUAUGAGCCCUUUCGUCGUACCGCAGCCGACUCCGAUCGUAUGUAUUUUCGAGGUUCUUCUGCACCUUGUCAUGCAUCACUUGGAGUUUAUCAGCCGUUCCC
Molecule: long non-coding RNA, 935 nt
Organism: Drosophila elegans
Lineage: Eukaryota; Metazoa; Arthropoda; Insecta; Diptera; Drosophilidae
Exons: 4
Source: RefSeq, a predicted model, not a curated record